Molecule: ribosomal RNA, 773 nt
Filed under: uncultured Neocallimastigales
Lineage: Eukaryota; Fungi; Neocallimastigomycota; Neocallimastigomycetes; Neocallimastigales
Description: partial large subunit ribosomal RNA
Rfam family: Eukaryotic large subunit ribosomal RNA
Source: RNAcentral
CGCAUCUGUGCAUGCAGCAUUAUCAAUAAGCGGAGGAAAAGAAACUAACAAGGAUUCCCUCAGUAACGGCGAGUGAAGCGGGAAGAGCUCAAAUUUGAAAUCUUGAAAGGUCACCUUUCACGAAUUGUAGUUUAAAGAAGUGUUUUCUGUUACGAUCGUAAUAUAAGUUCUUUGGAAUAGGACAUCACAGAGGGUGAGAAUCCCGUCUAUGAUUGCGAUUUGUAGCUUUGUGAUACACUUUCAAAGAGUCGGGUUGUUUGGGAAUGCAGCCCAAAACGGGAGGUAAAUUUCUUCUAAGGCUAAAUAUUGGCGAGAGACCGAUAGCGAACAAGUACCGUGAGGGAAAGAUGAAAAGAACUUUGAAAAGAGAGUUAAAUAGUACGUGAAAUUGUCAAAAGGGAAGCGUUUAACACCAGUGUUGUUUUCUGAAAAUCAACCUCUGUUAGCUUUAUGCAUGUUUGUUUAGACCUAAAUCAGCUAUCUUGCAUGUUCUAUUGUUUGCAGUGGUGCACUUUUCAGUCUACAGGUCAACAUCAGUUUUUUUUACCGUAAAAAAGUUAAAGAAAGGUAGCUCAUGGCUCCGGUCGUGAGUGUUAUAGUCUUUUUCCUAUGCGGUAGGAGAGACUGAGGUCUGCAGUGUAGGCUAUUUGGCUAGAUACUCAGGUGCUAUGUGAUACCAUUUCAUAAACAACUUGUUGAUUAUGUUUUGUCUAUUGCAUACUCGCUUGUACUAUCAUACCUACGCUUAGGAUGUUGACGAUCAGCUGAGCGCG